This 936-nucleotide ribosomal RNA is filed under the name human gut metagenome. RNAcentral's name for it is "bacterial SSU rRNA". It matches the Rfam family "Bacterial small subunit ribosomal RNA", at positions 8 to 936 of the family's 1533-position model. The record is from RNAcentral.
AGAGUUUGAUCCUGGCUCAGGAUGAACGCUAGCUACAGGCUUAACACAUGCAAGUCGAGGGGCAGCAUGGUCUUAGCUUGCUAAGGCCGAUGGCGACCGGCGCACGGGUGAGUAACACGUAUCCAACCUGCCGUCUACUCUUGGACAGCCUUCUGAAAGGAAGAUUAAUACAAGAUGGCAUCAUGAGUUCACAUGUUCACAUGAUUAAAGGUUUUCCGGUAGACGAUGGGGAUGCGUUCCAUUAGAUAGUAGGCGGGGUAACGGCCCACCUAGUCUUCGAUGGAUAGGGGUUCUGAGAGGAAGGUCCCCCACAUUGGAACUGAGACACGGUCCAAACUCCUACGGGAGGCAGCAGUGAGGAAUAUUGGUCAAUGGGCGCAGGCCUGAACCAGCCAAGUAGCGUGAAGGAUGACUGCCCUAUGGGUUGUAAACUUCUUUUAUAAAGGAAUAAAGUCGGGUAUGCAUACCCGUUUGCAUGUACUUUAUGAAUAAGGAUCGGCUAACUCCGUGCCAGCAGCCGCGGUAAUACGGAGGAUCCGAGCGUUAUCCGGAUUUAUUGGGUUUAAAGGGAGCGUAGAUGGAUGUUUAAGUCAGUUGUGAAAGUUUGCGGCUCAACCGUAAAAUUGCAGUUGAUACUGGAUAUCUUGAGUGCAGUUGAGGCAGGCGGAAUUCGUGGUGUAGCGGUGAAAUGCUUAGAUAUCACGAAGAACUCCGAUUGCGAAGGCAGCCUGCUAAGCUGCAACUGACAUUGAGGCUCGAAAGUGUGGGUAUCAAACAGGAUUAGAUACCCUGGUAGUCCACACGGUAAACGAUGAAUACUCGCUGUUUGCGAUAUACAGCAAGCGGCCAAGCGAAAGCGUUAAGUAUUCCACCUGGGGAGUACGCCGGCAACGGUGAAACUCAAAGGAAUUGACGGGGGCCCGCACAAGCGGAGGA